This 341-nucleotide ribosomal RNA is filed under the name uncultured fungus. Its description in RNAcentral is "eukaryotic LSU rRNA". The stretch from base 1 to 113 matches the Rfam family "5.8S ribosomal RNA", at positions 42 to 154 of the family's 154-position model. The record is from RNAcentral. Lineage: Eukaryota; Fungi.
AACGCAGCGAAGGGCGAUAAGUAAUGUGAAUUGCAGAUUUUCAGUGAAUCAUCGAAUCUUGAACGCACCUUGCGCUCCUUGGUAUUCCGAGGAGCAUGCCUGUUUGAGUGUCAUUAAAUCCUCAACCCCGUCCGUCGGUCGGGGCUUGGACUUUGGAGCGUGCUGGCGAAGGUCGGCUCCUCUUUAAAUGCAUCAGCGGAGAAAAACAAACCUUUUUUCCCCCCUUCAGCGUGAUAACUGUGUUGCGCUGUGGUCGCGAGAGGGUCCGCUCAUAAUCGUCCUCGGACAAACACCGAAUCUGUUUUGACCUCAGAUCAGGUAGGACUACCCGCUGAACUUAA